GAAGAUGACAGGGGAAGCUCUAACCUGUCAGGUGAUGGGUGCAGGCAUUUGGAAACUCAGGAAAGCUUGGUCCCCCAACCCUCACCUUCCUCACUCUUCCUCUCUCUAUUCCUCUUAGGAGUUCAGGGAACAUAAUGAUGUGGACUCUUAAGUUCCCGGGUUUGACAUGACUCAGGCCAGCGAUGGACCACCCAGGGUUUCCAAGAAAGUACUCAAGUGGACUCUAAGCCCUUGCAGUUUGACUUGACUCAGGCUGGAAAUUUGCCACCCAGGCCGCACCACGCUGCUGGAUUUCACCAGGUCCAAGCAUCAAACCAGGAGCUCACUCAGAGUUGAAAGUGCCAAUGAAAAUCAAAGGAACUGCACUACUUGCCCCUACCAGGUACUGGAUGACACCUGCUGUGGCCCCAGGAGG
Long non-coding RNA from Sus scrofa (pig), 415 nucleotides. RefSeq lists it as uncharacterized. The record is from RefSeq and is a predicted model, not a curated record. Lineage: Eukaryota; Metazoa; Chordata; Mammalia; Artiodactyla; Suidae.